RNAcentral lists this ribosomal RNA (253 nucleotides) under uncultured bacterium. RNAcentral describes it as "partial 16S ribosomal RNA". It matches the Rfam family "Bacterial small subunit ribosomal RNA", at positions 524 to 776 of the family's 1533-position model. The record is from RNAcentral.
UACGUAGGUGGCAAGCGUUGUCCGGAUUUAUUGGGUUUAAAGGGUGCGUAGGCGGUCUAUUAAGUCAGCGGUGAAAUACUCCAGCUUAACUGGAGGGGUGCCAUUGAUACUGAUGGACUUGAGUCAAGUCGAGGUAGGUGGAAUUGACGGUGUAGCGGUGAAAUGCUUAGAUAUCGUCAAGAACACCAAUAGUGAAGACAGCUUACUGGGCUUAAACUGACGCUGAGGCACGAAAGUGUGGGGAUCAAACAGG